UGUCCAGGGAUGGGAAUCGAACCCACAGUGUUCUGCUUACCGGGCAGAUGCCAUGUCCACUAGGCUACCCGGGAC
RNAcentral lists this transfer RNA (75 nucleotides) under Cordylochernes scorpioides. RNAcentral describes it as "tRNA-Thr". The record is from RNAcentral. Lineage: Eukaryota; Metazoa; Arthropoda; Arachnida; Pseudoscorpiones; Chernetidae.